AAGUCAACUCCGCAAGGGGUGGCGCACGGCUCAGUAACACGUAGUCAACCUACCCUAGGGACGGGGAUAACCUCGGGAAACUGAGGCUAAACCCCGAUAGGCUAUAGCCUCUGGAAUGAGCUAUAGCUGAAAUCUAUAUGGCCCUAGGAUGGGACUGCGGCCGAUCAGGUAGUUGGUGGGGUAAUGGCCCACCAAGCCUAUAACCGGUGCGGGCUCUGAGAGGAGGAGCCCGGAGAUGGGCACUGAGACAAGGGCCCAGGUCCUAUGGGGCGCAGCAGGCGCGAAACCUCCGCAAUGGGCGAAAGCCCGACGGGGUUAGUCCGAGUGGUCCCUGCUGCAGGGGCCUUUUGCCAGCUGUAAAAAGGCUGGCGAAUAAGGGGUGGGCAAGUUUGGUGUCAGCCGCCGCGGUAAUACCAGCACCCCGAGUGGUCGGGACGAUUAUUGGGCCUAAAGCAUCCGUAGCCGGCUUAGCAAGUCCUCCGUUAAAUCCAACGGCUUAACCGUUGGGCUGCGGAGGAUACUGCUAAGCUAGGGGGCGGGAGAGGCGAGGGGUAUUCCCAGGGUAGGGGUAAAAUCCGUUGAUCCUGGGAGGACCACCAGUGGCGAAGGCGCCUCACUAGAACGCGCCCGACGGUGAGGGAUGAAAGCUGGGGGAGCGAACCGGAUUAGAUACCCGGGUAGUCCCAGCCGUAAACGAUGUAGGCUCGAUGUUGGGUUACCCAAGUGGUAGCCCAGUGUCGCAGGGAAGCCGUUAAGCCUACCGCCUGGGGAGUACGGCCGCAGAGGCGUGAAACUAAGAGGAAUGGCGGG
RNAcentral lists this ribosomal RNA (810 nucleotides) under uncultured crenarchaeote. RNAcentral describes it as "bacterial SSU rRNA". It matches the Rfam family "Archaeal small subunit ribosomal RNA", at positions 55 to 872 of the family's 1478-position model. The record is from RNAcentral. Lineage: Archaea; Thermoproteati; Thermoproteota.